This 1881-nucleotide long non-coding RNA is filed under the name Capsicum annuum. Its description in RNAcentral is "long non-coding RNA (CANN_LNC004245)". Lineage: Eukaryota; Viridiplantae; Streptophyta; Magnoliopsida; Solanales; Solanaceae. The record is from RNAcentral.
GGGCCCACAGAGAAAAGGAGCAUACAAUCCAUUUUUAUUUCUAGGUAACAAGAGAACAUAUACUAUUCAUCUUUCUUCUCCAUUCAUACAAACAUACGCAUAGAAAAAGGAAAAAUAUACAAACACCUGAGACCAUACUCAUCACCCACCGUCACAUCUUCAUCACCACACGCACAAAAUCGCACAUUCACAUAAUACGGAUCCACACACUCACUGGUAGAGGGCUCCCAAUUUCCAUGGAAGGGAUACUCACCAUCAACAUACAGUGAGGAGAGUAUACACAGAACAUUACAGAAGAGAGCAAACCAAGAGAGAUCGGGGAGAGAGGUAGAAAGGAGAAGGGAGAUUGAGAGAAAAACAACGAGAGAGAGAUAGAAGCGAUUGAGAGAGAGAUCGAAGAGCACUGUUCCAGCUAGUGGUGUCUCACCGAAAAACUCAGCUAAAGUCGUCGUAAAAUGCCCUCUCCAUUGGAACGCGACCAGUUUCAUUCGUUCCCAGCUCCGGCAAAACAGAAACAGUUCACCCAUCGCCUGAAACGUCCUCUCCUCGUUGGAAAGAGGUCACCCACCUCAACUUUUGGCCCAACCUCUCCGUAAACUAUAAGUCGGGGAUCGAAUCCAUGAAACCCGAACUGUUUUAGUCUAUUCCGACCAAAUUUCAUCCAACAACAAUUAAAAAUCAAAAUGGGUUAGUUGGUUCAUUCGGGUUCAUUCGGAUUUUUGUUGGUUUGUUCAAGUUGUGGGUUCGACGUUGAGGUUUCAGUUGGGUCGAGGUUCGUUGCUCCGUGAAUUCCGAUCCAUCAUGGGUUUUUCAAAAUAAAAAUCAUCAAAUUGAGGUCCGAUUCUACUUCCUCAGUCUUUUAUUUAAUUGUGUAUUCUAUUCUAUGUAUUGAAUUAAACAUGAUAUGAAUUAUUGUUGUUGCGAUUCUGUGAUUAAUUUUGUGAUUAUAGAUUGUGUGUUGAAAUGACACUUUAUUUGUGUUUAGAAUGGAUUUGGGGAGAAAAUGGAGAAAUUGAUAAAAAAUUAAUUUGUUUAGAUCAGUUAAUUGAUGGAUGUAGAUGAAUUCGGAAGUAUGAUGAUAAGAACGUCAAAAGCGUAGGCAAAUUUAGAACUUAUGGAUUGUUUGAGUUUUGGAAUGUUUAUGGAAUGGUUAGUCUUUCUCACAUUUGAAAAAUGUAUUCGUUUAGCCGGGGAAUGCCCCGAGAUAUAUUGUAUUUAUUCACCGAAGAAUUUCCCGACGUAUUAUGUUGGCGUAAGACAUUCGUGAUGAAAGCCCAAAACGUCGGGUGGAGAAAGUAAUGGAAUGUAGUUUAGAAUUAGCAUAGAAUAGAGUAGGUUUAUAUUUUCGCAUUUUUCUAUUUCGGAAUUGUAAUAAUCAGACUGAACACUAUAAUUUUUUAUUUGUUUUGUUUGUUUGUUUGAUUGAUCGUUUUGUGUGAUUUUGUGUAGUUUAUAUAUUCAUAAUGCCAAAAUAACCGAUACACUCCACCAAGCUAAUUAUUGUGAUUUAUAAUAAUUUUUACGUAAUUAUCAAAUAAUAUAUUUACUCCUUGUGUCCCAAUUUAUGUGGCUUCGAUAGAAUUUUGAGAGUCAACUAAAAUUUUUAUAUAUCUUUUAAAUAUUUUAAGUUGUUGAUUAUUAUGAUUUGCAGUACUUUUUUAUCUCAAUUUAUGUGUCAUUGUUAAAAUAAUGAGAGUCAAUAAAAUUUUUAUAUGUGGUAACAAAUUAUUGUGAUUUGUGGUAACAAAUUAGUUUUGAACAUGAUAGCUAAUUAAAUAAAAAAAAUUACUUUCAAUAUGUAGUUAUAGUUAACUAGUAUAAAUUAAUAUAAUAUAUUAAAUAUUUAAAUUAUUAUAAUGAAACAAUGAAAUUAUUAUAUAU